CUUCUGUUAGUGGUGGAACAUGUUUGAUGAAAUAGUAUGGAUCGAAGACUUCCCAGUCUUCUUCAUAGGUGGCUUCUGCAUGAGCUGAUGAGUAGCCACUGUCUGGAGAUACUGGUGCUGUAAGUGGUGGCAGGUCACGAUCAUUUGUUUCUUCUACUUCUUCUAAACCAUUGUUGACAGUAGAUCUGACCUGCACUGCUUGGCUAGUGUAAGCUGCUCCAUUGGUUGAUGUUGCAGUACUCGUAGUAAUCUCAUCUACCUGCUCCAUAUCAAGCUGUUUGACUAUUUCUUCAGCCUCAACAGCUUGUCCUGGAGAAUCUGAUCCUGAUGUUCCAUUUUUAUUUGCUGGUGAAAAAAAAUUGAAGACGGGAGAAAAUAUGGUUCCCAGUAAGGUAGUUCGCGGGGGACUGCCUGUGGCAGGAUUAUCUUCCAAUUUCCCAUUUUGCUUUACGUGUUGGUUUGUCAUUUCAUAACUUCCAGCUUCUCCAUUCACUUGACCUUUCCGUCUUACUCGAGAGAUCUGUUUAUUAGGCUUUUCUCCUGUUUGAGGUGUGGAUGUGAUCAAGUUGUUAUCUAUAUCCCGUUCAAUUCUACUUCUUUUUGCAGGAUUUUCUCUUUCUUCCUUGGGUGUGCUGCCUUUAAUAAACUUUUUGAUUGAAGACAGUAGGCCCGUCUCAUUUUUCUGCGGCUUUCCCCCGCCGACAGGUAGGCUCUCCUCCACCUCCGAGUGUUUCCUCUUUGCCCUCUGAGCACGCUGCGCGUGAAUGGGAUUUGAUUGCUGAGAAGCCUUCCGCGUUCUCAGCCUCAUUUUCAUGUGUACCACAUGUAAAGCUGCGGCGCGGGGUGCCGGGCGGGCGGGCCCCGGUGGCCGAGUCCCCGGCGGGCGGACGGUGCGGGCCGGGCCGGGCCGGGCCGUGCGGGCGGCGCUGUGUUUACACCGCCGCCGGGGCUCGGCGCUCCGCGGCCGCUCAGCAGCCAGUCGCCAUUUCCCGCCUACCGACCUGCUACACCGCACGGAGGGACCCGGAUGGGGAGAGGGGCCGCCGCGCAGGCGCAGCCCGGCCGGGGGAGGGGGGCCCGGGCACGGCGGCGGCGGGGCAGGCCGGGAAGGAGGGAGCGGGGCCUCGCGCGGGGAGCGGCGCCCCGAGGCGGCGGGGCUGAGGGAACGGGCCGGGCCGGGCCGGGCCGCCACCUCCCGCUCCUCCUUCUCCUCCUCUUACCCGGGCCGGGAGCGGCAGGCAGCGCCUCGGGGCUGAGGGGGCCUCGCGAGGAGGAGGAGGAGGAGGGGAAGGAGGAGGAUGCGGCGGCGACCGCCUCUCGGGCCGAGUGCCGCCCCGCCGCGCCCUGAGGUGAGGUGAGGCGGGAAGGGGCGAGCGGUGCGCUGAGGUGAGGUGGGGGUUGGCGGGAGGUGAGCGGCUGAGGGGGCGGGGAGGGCGCGAGCCGGGCGGCGCGGAGCCGCGUCCCGCCGGGCGGGGGGAGGGGGAAUCUGUGAGGGAAGGGGCGGAGGGGCGGGGCGGUCUGUGAGGUUCUGCCAGGGGGGGCACCGCCGCCCCCCGCUCCGUUCUCCGGCCGCUCCCGGGCGGCGGGCUCGGGCCCCCAGACCCCCCGCCCGUGAGCCCCGCGGGAGGCGGGCGGCUGGGGCGGACGGGGCUCCGCCGUGGCCGGCACGGAGCGCGUCCCGCCGCGCCGGGGGCGGAGGAGCGCGAUGGCGGGAGCGGCGUUUCCCUGCGCUCCCCGGGGAGGAAGCGGCCGGCGGCCACACGGCGCUGCCCGGGACGCGGCCCGGCCCUGCGAGGCGCUCCGCGGGGAGCCCGACCCGGCCCCGCCGCCCUCCCGGCGUCCUGCGGGCAGCCCCGCCGCGGGUCUGGCCGUGCUCGGGGCCGGCUGACCGCUCGCUCUGCCCUCUCGCCCGGCUCCUGGAGCGUUACCGUCCUUUCGAACCGUAGCGCGGCGCUGGCGCUGUGGUUUGAGCCGCUGCUUCGGGACACCUUCGGAGUCUGGUGCGAAGCUCUUCGUUUGUUUAACUCUUGGCAGCCUCUCGUGUGAGAUGUUGAGGAUGCAGCAUCCUGACCGUCCCAGCCAGGACAGCAGGGGGGUGCUGGGGUUGCACGGGGGACUUACAGCCUGCCGAGCUGCCGGCCUCGCUUUUCCUUCUGUCUGUGAGUGCUUUCGUCCACCGCGCUUCAUGAACACAAAUCCUGGGUUCUCAGAUCCGUGCUGUACGACAUUAGGAGCUUCUCAAAGCGUCACUUGGGUACAUGUUCUCUAACGUACCCAUAGGCACAGACCCGCUCCGGGUGCUCUUUCUCUCUCUCUGGUACCCAUUGACACCCCUCACAGGUUUCAAACCCGGAGUGUGUCACAGAAGUCCCGGUUCCCUUGUCCCUCAUCUACUGGUUUGUCAAACAGAAUCACAUCGGCUGCUGCGGAGCCAAGAAUUGCUUUAUAGUUUUAUCACAGAACUUUUGCUCUCUUAGCAGAAGACAUUGUAGAACUGAUUUUACCUUCGUUUCUCAAGGAAGCAGGGAGUAAAGCGGCAGUGGAAGCACUGUAUUCGUUACUCAGAACAGGCCUUAUUCCUGUAGAGCAUUGCAGCACUCCUAAACACACACAUGAGUAAGCGUAGUACUUCAUACAAUCAGCUGUGGGAAAGGUUAGCUUGGGCCUGUUAGGACUUAAUUAAGGCUGUUUGUCAGUCCAUUAAGAGGAGCUAGUAUGGCAAGAUAACUGCGAUGUCUCGCAGUACAAGCCCAGAAGGGCGUUCAGUGGUGCUUAUAAAGGGGGAGUUUUGGAAAACAGUAGGUGGCUUUUCCAAGCUAUGUAAUUAUAAUGAAAGUAACUGCCAGGGGAAACCAUUCAGCAGGAUUCAGAGCAUGCAGAUAUUUAUAUGAACACAAAAACCUUCUACUGCAUUCGCAACGAAAGCCAAAAAAACAUUCUGAAGAUGCUGAAGCACAUGGCUUGGGAUUCAAAGGAGUCUGUAGGGAAUAAGGACUGUGCUUUUCUGUAUCCGCAGUGGUCUUGUGCCUGGUUCAGAGCAGGGGCAGAGGGUGCUGUUGGACCAGAAGGGUUGUGAGCUUUGUCACUCGUCGGGUGAGAAUAUAAAGUCAGAGUGCUCACUGACACUGCUGCGAAGGCAGAAGUUCAAAGGUCCCCCUGCUGUGAGUUGCUCCCCUCCUUAUAAAGCACAGUGUGGGGAGAGCCACGGAGAGUGUGCCACGGAGGAGCGCUAAGGAACACUGGGUGUGCACACAUGGGGCAUGAGAAGCUUGGAACGCACACGUGCUUCAGAAGAGGCUCUGUAUUGGCAACGGCAGGUUGUUCCCUUGACAGUCGAUUGCAGGGACUGCCAGACUGAGAUAUUCUAGGUGUGUGUUUUCUUCACAGGGAGGCUGGAGGACAAAAGCCCGUCGUUGCCAGCAGUGUUGCGCGCUGCUGAAACGUUACACUCUAUUAAUGCUCAUUUGAACGGCCGUUCUUCGUGACUUCCUUCCAACUCCUUUUUUGUUGUUCUCAACUCUUGCGGGCCUGCUGGCGGUGUGUUUACUGAGGACUCACUGAGAAGGACUUGUUCAGAGUCACUUCCUUGUUUGUCAUAGAGAUUCCGCGUGCGUGAGCCCACCUCUUGGUGAGCCGGUCCUACACCUGCCGUUAGGCGGCGUGUUCUGGUACAGGGCUGCCUUCCAUGGCUGUGAGCAGUAGUUGUUUAAACAAAGCAAUUCUUGUUUGGGUUAAAAUAUUUUAGAAUAAUCUAUUUCUAGUGUUUGUUAUUUCUCUUGCUUAUCUGGAGGGAAUACACUUUGUUCAGUAGGUGAACAACCACGGACUUGACUUACUUGAGAAGCAGCUCACAGGCUGUGCUUGCUCUGCGUGCCUAGACGUCUGUCAUCCAAUCUGUCUGUCCAGGAGCAACUACAGACUUACUGUUCUGACUGCUUGCACUUAGCGAGGGAGCCAGAAUUCAUAUGGUGCUGUGUGCCUCUUCAGACACAAAGGCAAGCGUGAAUUUAAACCAACUGAAGUGUGUGUUUGAUUUAGCACAAAACAUCUCUGAGGAGCCUGCAGCCACGGAACAGUCUGCCAGGGAUGAAAAUACACAUCCUUCAGCAGUCGGUCCAGUUGUAGGGGGUUAAGGUGGUUGUAGGUAGGACACUGGCAAGCCUGUCGUUGCUCUGUGCAAAGAGUUUGAUUUAGAUGGAGGGACUGGGAGUGUUCUCGUUUCUGUACUGGCGUGAAGUUCUUGCACACGUAUCGUAACCCUGUUUCUGUGUGUCUGAAAAUCCCAGUGUAACCCAGUAAAUAGGUAUGUACGUCCCCACUUCUUUCAACCAGGGCUGUAUUAGAGAAGCACGGUGUCCUUGGUGCUGGAGUCAGCCAGAAGCUUCUAGCUGCUGCAGAACACUGUGCUGUUUCUGCACGGUGAUACAGGCUAUUGGAAGCACUCAGUCUUACUUUUUCUACUUGGGAAGGAGUGAAGUUGAGGGUGGCGGUGAGUUCUCCACAUACCACAAGUACACACACACGUAUUUGUUCAGGCAAAUCCGCCAGAGUCUGAAGUGAGCAGUAAGUGGCUGUGUGUGCAGAGGAGCUGAGGGGGUGCCAGCUUUCUGUAGCUGCACCAGAAAGUGACAGAUAAAGAGCUGGCUCCUCUUCCUGUUUCCGUACUGGCUCAGCCUCAGGCAGCUCGUACAGCAGAGUGCACGUGAGGGGUUUACUUUAGCCUUUUACAGCAGAGCUUUCAGGAUUUGAUUGCUUGUGCAGAGGGUCUGUUGCAGAUAUAAUUAAACUGAAGCAGAAGUGCAUGACAACCUGUAUGCAGCCUAGCCAACCCUGUGUGUUUUCCAGGCAAAUCACGCUGUGAAUCACUGAAAACAUGUAAUCUUCUAUUGCAAACUGCUUGCUUACAAGAGUUCUUUUGUUCUGUAGGCUUUGUACUUUUCACUGUUAAUGAUUUUGUCUGUAUGAAAAUGUAAACUUGUGAUGUUUAAUAAAAUAUGUAAGUCAUUAGUUAUUUAGUGUCCAUUUUCAUCUUGUCACUUCAGUCUGGAGAUAAGCAGAAUGCUCACUGCAACUCUGACAGUUCUGAAUAACGUGGCUCUGCUUUGUCAGGUGGAACCCAUCACUUUGGGUUUCCUACUUUUAAAGGAAGUCGGGUUCAACAGUGAGUCUUUGCUUUUGUGAGAUCCAUGGAGCUUGGAGAAAGCUUUGGGGAAAGCUGCCUACUGAAAACCCAUACAUAUCAUUGGGUAGUUGGAACUAACUAGAAUGAAUUCAGUAUUUGGCUACUCACUGUAGGUGCUUGGAUUUCUCAUUAUUGUUGAAAUCAUCCAGAGAAAGGUCUCUGGCUGGCUGUUAAUUGUUUUCCUUUGGUCAGUUACUGGAGUACCUGGAAUUCAUGUCAUUGCAGUGGGGAGGUUUUACCCGCUCUGCAGGACAGACACCACUCAUUUCAUGCUUAAUAGAUCUGAAAGCUGAAUUAUAUAAUCUUAAGAGGAAAACUUGGUCUCUUCUCCAACCCUUUUUUGGGGCAGGGCAGGAGAGGAGGAAAGGAAAGCAGCCGUGGCAGAGAACACGAGCCGGGUCAUGGUGGCUGCUGUGUUCCCUCGUUUCAACAGGCUGAAUUUCUACCAGCUUCAAAUGCCAUGGAUGUCUCUGAGGUGUAAGAGCACCCAGAUUUUAAACUGAAGCACAGGUAUUUUUUUCUCUGAUUUUUAACAGAAUUGAUUUGAGCUGUCUGUAAUGGAGUAACAGUUGCCCAAGCUCUGAAAGUUCCUAUCCCAUUUGUAUGCUAAUGUCUCUUCAAGUCAGAUUUCUGUUCAGGCCUGGGCAUAAAACAAAGUACUGCAGUCACUCACUGAGCAAAAAUGACUUAGGAAUAUGUAUUUUCUCAGUUUAACCCUGAGCAAAAUAUUUUUGGCAUCGGCACAUUCAUUUACGUGGACUUGUGAGUGCUUUUAAAGUACAGCCUUUUAUAAUUGGGCUCCUGCAGGUUUGGUUAUUUAUGCAAAGCAGAGAGGCGCUUUGUUCUUUCAUAGCUUUGCAAUGGCAAUCUUUAGGAAAUGGGACAAUUGCAGGGAUUUUCUUGCUCCGUGGUAUGAUCUCAGCUCUGCGUGUUCUCCAAACUUCCUCACAUGGCUGUUACGUUAGUUUCUAUCUGUACUGUGCUUUGAAGCCAUGAUGUGUUGUUACUCUUAAGUAGACUGGUAGAGAAUUCUGUAUUUCAAUAUGGAUGUGGAUAGCUCACAAGCAUUCUGUUGUCGUUACCCCCUUACUCCAUUGGAUGCCACGAGCUGGGCUUUGCAUCUCGUCCCUGAAGAAGGACAGCAUCCCAGUGCCCGCCCUGGCCCGCUGCUGGUGUACUGAGUGCCGUGGUUCAGCUCUCCAGCUCCUACAGUUCUACUGCCAUUUGGAGGCUGGGACAACAGAAGUACUGCAGGCGUUUCUGAACACCAGCUCACCCCUACAGCUUCUUGGUUGACGGCAGAACUCCUUCAGGCAGUGUGGAAGUGCAGGCUUUUCUUACUCCUGGCAGCCGUUGUGGCUGUUGCUGCCUUGGCCUUCUGAAACAGAGAGAGGAAAGCAGAAAAGGGCUGAAUUGUGCAGGGAGCUUCCAGAUCUCAAAUCAGCAGCAAACCCAUUCUUCAAUGAACAAACGUCCCUUGGUUUGGUGUGUGUUUGCAGGGCUGUGGUAGGUAUAGCUGUUACUCUUUAUGAACCUAAGUAAGUGGAGGGAAAGGAAGAAACUAAGCAAAACUCAGUGUACAAAACUAGAACAAGUGAACUAGUUUUUGCUUUCUAGUAAAGUUUCCUAGUUUUUGCUUUCUAGUAGUUUCAAAUACAGUCCUCUUCCCACCAGCACGGCCGGGAGUUCAGCAUUGAUGGCACAGUGCUCAUCUUCACCAUGCUUCCUUACAUCUUAACAGUGACAGUGCUGAGCACUUAGCACUGCAAAGUGGCAAGGUGAAGUGAAGCAUUUGGAAGUAUGUAUGAAAGAGGGAUGGGAGUUUCUGAGAAGAUAGGACGAGGUUUGUUGGUCCCGUUUGCUGCUUUUCAGGAGAUGACUCCUCCAGUGCACUGCCAUGUGAAUGAAAAGCUGCUCGUACACAAGCCUUAAAGCAAGAACUUGAGGAGCUGCACGCUGCCUUAGCUGUCUAGAAACACUGCUCAAACAACACGAUCUGGGCUGGGCCAUCAUUUAAAGGUGCUUUGAUUUUUCUUGUAAAGCAGUUCCACCAAAUGCACAAGAUGUUAUUUUGAAGUUCAGCUGAUGGUUUGAGAGAAGCAGAUAUUUGAGCAGCGCUCUGAAAUAUGUCAACAUUUUGUGUGCUGCUGUUCCCAUGGAAACAGGUAUCAGCUCAGAAAAAUGGCCUCGGGAUUUCAGAAUUAGAUGUAGAAAAUAAAAUCCAGAUAGGUUAGUCAUGCAUAUUGCUACUCAUAAGCUGAUACUGGUGGUGCUAAGCAAUACGCCAUGAACACAUCAGGUGUGGACACACACACUGGCAGGUCAGUGGUUUAUAUUUUUGCUAAGUGAGCCUUUGACUGAAGGAACUUUAUUAGAAAAACACGUAUGUAUGGCAAACAAGUAUACAGAUUGUAAGGUAAAUAGGUAUACAGGUAUAGGACCAGAGAGAUUAUUGUGUUACAAAGGAGUAAUGAAAUAAAGAGCUUACCCAUGUCCUGGGCUCACAGAAGGGCUCCAAGAAGAGUGAUCUCCAGAUAGAGAUCCUUCCUGCUUGGGAGUCAGCCCUUAAAUGGGGUCUCUGUGGGGUGCAGCCAGGAUCCACCCCUUCCGGUCACUCAGGUGAAGUUACGUUCACCUGUGCCCCUGCAGCUGACUCAGUGCCCACCUCAGGUGAUCAAUCAGAGGUUCAGGCCGUGAUUAUACAGUUCCCAUACAAUGCAUUAAUUGCAUUUUUUUUCUAGCCUGUUCUCUUCCACAUACCUGAAAGCAGUCACAUUUUCAUCACUUCUUUAGGCCUCUUCCCUGAAAAAAGGUGGAAGAGGUAUUGGAUGAGAACUACAGAUUUAAGCUAGUUGGCAGACUUUUUUUUUAACAUAAAAUGGCUGAGGAAACACAAACCUGAUCAUAUGGAAUCUUUAGCAGCAUGUAGAAAUGAAGCAGGUGCCAUUCCUUUGAGCUGUUUGCCUCUGGGGAUGUGUGCUUUAGGAAGGGCCGUUGCAGGCGGGGCAGUUAUCCCAGCUGAGCACUGAGCACGGGAUGAGUGCAGGACUCACUGCCAGCAGGGCAGUGUGCAGUGAGCACACCUUUAUGGGGCUGAGGGCAGAGCACCCUGGGAAUUCUUGGAAAAUGAAGUCUCCUCUAAUUGGAGGCUUGCAUCUUCAGCUUAAUGAUUCAGACAUGUCUAUCUAUUUUCUAGCUCAAGCCAUGCUUAGAUGUCUGUCUUUGAUAUGAAUUGGAUGCCCCACAUCCUCUAGAGCAGCGGCUCCCAGCUGGUGUUGGGCAUUGUGUUAAAGGAAAGGCACAGAGCAGGAGUCCCACAGGCCUCAAGGAUGGAAGCGCAGUGCAGAAGCAACGCGCAGGCAGCUGGCCAGAGCAGCUUUUGUUCAACACAACAGCAGAGGCCCUACAGUGAGGGAUUCAAGGAGGAUCUUACAGUAGUUUGCUUUAAAGUGUGAAACACCGAAGUAAAAAUGGUUCAGUUUUGCAGCACUUCAAGUUCUUCAGUUGAGAUCUCAUCUACGUUUCCCAUUUAAUUCAGCCUUAAAGAACACCGUCACCGAAGCGUGGCUUGCUGUAAUCAACGAGGUCAUUCUGUAGGUCUCUUUCUUCAUCAUUUUGCUUCAUCUUUUGCAAGCCGACAGCUCUGCCUUUUUGAAGCUUUAGAUGGUCUGCUUCAAUUUUGUUUUCAUUCUGACUGUCCAUAUUUUCACCAAAAUUUAAGUGUUGAAGAGAAUUUGGAGGUAUCUCUUUUGCAAUAUCAGCAUUUCCAUCAUUGUCACCAUGCAAACCUGGCGCCAGAUUUGGAGCGUGGGGCUGUUCAGUUGGGAGGUUUACAUCAGCCUGAUGAUGGUUGUCGCUUCUGGGAGCUGAAAUAAGUGGCUUCUUUAUAGCAGUGGGAGUGUCUUCAGCUUUAGCAGGGUCAUUGUCUUCUAUUUCAGGCAUGCCUGCAUCUCCUCCUGGUUUGACUUUCUCUUUGCCAUUUACAACACGAUCUGAAGGUAGCUCAUUAUUUUCUGCAUUUUUAACUUCCAUCUCUGGAACAGUCUUAGAUAUUGGCUGGUUAUCACCAUUGGGAUUUACUUCAGCAUCUUUACUGGACUGAAUCCUCUGCGUUGCCUUUUGUUCCCGAACAAUCUGGUCCAUUAAUUUCUUUAUGUUUUCUUCAUGCUGUAUUCUCAUUUCCUUGAUCUGCUGCCCACACUGCAGACUGUCGUACUCCAGCCUCCUCGUAAGGUAGGUGUUGUUCUUCUUGUACUCAUGAAGCUGAUCUUCCUGGCGGAUGAAUUCCUGACGUAAUUCUGCCAGUUGUUCCUUCAAACGAUGUAUGUCUGCCAUCUGGUACGAUAUGUUGUUCUGCAGCUUCACCCGGCUGUCCUCGCAGCGCUUCACCUGCCCGUCCCUGGCCUGCAGCUGGCUGCUCAGCUGGCUGUAAUCCGCCUCCUUCUGCUCCAGCUGCUUGCGGUGCGAAUCCACCCGGCCCAGCAGGUCGGAGUUGCGCUUCUCCAGCCGCCCUCGGGCCACCUCGGUGCGCUUGGCCUGGCUCUGCAGCUCGGCCAGCUCCUCCCGCAGCACGGCCUGGCGCGACGCCGCGUUCCAGCAGUUGAAGGCGAGGACGGCGAUCACGAGCAGCAGGGCGGCCAGCAGGAAGGAGGGCAGGCGGCCGCCCCUCCGGUUGGCCCCGAAGCCCACCAUGGGGGAGGCCGCCGGGCGGGGGCCGCGCCCGCUCUCCGCCUCCGCCCGCGCCUGAGAGGGGCCGCACAGAACGGGGCCGCGGGACCGGCGGAGGAUCGGCUGCGGGCGGCGGACGCGCACAGGCCGCAGAGCCGCGCUGGCGGCGCGCCGCCCUCCUCCCGGCCGGCCGCGGCCCCGCC
This 10053-nucleotide long non-coding RNA is filed under the name Gallus gallus (chicken). The record is from RNAcentral. Lineage: Eukaryota; Metazoa; Chordata; Aves; Galliformes; Phasianidae.